GACGAACGCUGGCGGCGCGCUUAACACAUGCAAGUCGAACGGAAAGGCCUGCUUUCCCUUGUGGAUUGCGGGUACUCGAGUGGCGAACGGGUGAGUAACACGUGAGUGAUCUGCCCCCAACUUGGGUAUAAGCCUGGGAAACUGGGUCUAAUUCCCGAUAGGACUGCAGGGUGGUGCCUGUGGUGGAAAACGAUUUUCUAGUGGUUGGGGAUGAGCUCGCGGCCUAUCAGCUUGUUGGUGGGGUAAUGGCCUACCAAGGCGGCGACGGGUAGCCGGCCUGGGAGGGUGGACGGGCACAUUGGGACUGGGAUACGGCCCAGACUCCUACGGGAGGCAGCAGUGGGGAGUAUUGGACGAUGGGCGGAAGCCUGAUGCAGCGACGCCGCGUGGGGGAUGACGGCCUUCGGGUUGUAAACUCCUUUCGACCGCGAGGAAGCCACCUGGUUGGAAGGGUGGUGACGGUAGUGGUAGAAGAAGCACCGGCUAACUACGUG
This 494-nucleotide ribosomal RNA is filed under the name uncultured bacterium. RNAcentral's name for it is "partial 16S ribosomal RNA". It matches the Rfam family "Bacterial small subunit ribosomal RNA", at positions 28 to 507 of the family's 1533-position model. The record is from RNAcentral.